This 63-nucleotide microRNA precursor is filed under the name Podarcis lilfordi (Lilford's wall lizard). The record is from RNAcentral. Lineage: Eukaryota; Metazoa; Chordata; Lepidosauria; Squamata; Lacertidae.
UGUGUGUGUGUGUGUGUGUGUAUGCACACACACUGUACACACACACACACACACACACACACA